CCUACGGGGUGCAGCAGUGGGGAAUAUUGCGCAAUGGGGGCAACCCUGACGCAGCAACGCCGCGUGAUUGAAGAAGGCCUUCGGGUUGUAAAGAUCUUUAAUCGGGGACGAAUUUUGACGGUACCCGAAGAAUAAGCAUCGGCUAACUCCGUGCCAGCAGCCGCGGUAAUACGGAGGAUGCGAGCGUUAUCCGGAUUUAUUGGGUUUAAAGGGUGCGCAGGCGGAGGUGCAAGUCAGCGGUCAAAUUGCGGGGCUCAACCCCGUACUGCCGUUGAAACUGCAUCCCUUGAGUGCGCGAGAAGUAUGCGGAAUGCGUGGUGUAGCGGUGAAAUGCAUAGAUAUCACGCAGAACUCCGAUUGCGAAGGCAGCAUACCGGCGCGCAACUGACGCUCAUGCACGAAAGCGUGGGUAUCGAACAGGAUUAGAUACCCUGGUAGUC
Molecule: ribosomal RNA, 440 nt
Filed under: uncultured bacterium
Lineage: Bacteria
Description: partial 16S ribosomal RNA
Rfam family: Bacterial small subunit ribosomal RNA
Source: RNAcentral